This is an RNA transcript of Stomoxys calcitrans (stable fly), 2035 nucleotides long. RefSeq lists it as uncharacterized. NCBI's taxonomy places the organism in Eukaryota, Metazoa, Arthropoda, Insecta, Diptera, Muscidae. The record is from RefSeq and is a predicted model, not a curated record. The transcript has 5 exons.
CUGAAUUUUAUUAUUAAAGAGCGUACUGAAUUUGCCAAAAUGAAUUAUAUUACAAUUUAUAAUGAUUUGAAAUUAUUUGACCUUACCCUAUUUAGAAUAAGAAAGAUGGGAACUCUUACAUAUUAGAAAAAAUUAAAGCUUUUGCUCAAGCAAAUUAAGAGUUCCCAUGUUUGAGUUAAAUUGUACUUUUGAAGUCUACACUUGCUGAAUAUAAAUAAGAAUGGCUUCCCCGCUUAAGUAGUUGUAGCUUAAGACUUACUUGGUAUCACAACACCGAAGCGGUAAGAAGAUAAAGGCUGCCAAUAAAACUACAACAACUAAAACAAACCUCACGAGAUUGUACAUGGUCCUUACGAGCCUCCACGAGGAACUGCGAAUAUUAAAUUUAAAAAGGAAAGAAAUCUUCACGAAAUUUUGGAAUUUAUAGGCCGAAUAUUACGCAAGAGUAAUGAACAACAACAACAAAAGCUCCCAAAAAUGCAAGGUCUGCCAAGACAGACAUCACCUGCGGUUUUGUUUGAUCUUCAACAAAAUGACUGUUUUAGAACGUGUAAAGGUGGCAAAGGAGAAGGGAUAUUGCUUUAACUGCCUUUGUGGGUCUCAUACCAGGGAAUGGUGCCGUUCUCGGAAUGCUUGCGCAGUGUGUAACAGAAAUCACCAUACAAAACUUCACGUUGAUGGUACCAAUGAGCCCAAAAAGCAAGCCCACUGCAACAAGCCAUAUUCAUACCAAAAACAGUCGUCACAUGAAUUUUUAUCAUCUCGUACCCAAAGUAAAACACACAAAGCCAAUUCAUCGCAUCAGAAACCAAAGUCUCAAGCAGAAGGAUACCAAAUAAGACAACGCCUUGGCGGACGGUCCAAGAAGCAUGUAUUUAUGCCAACUGCGUUGGCACGUGCAAUAACCAUAGUUGGAGCAAACAAGACCCGAAUUUUAUUAAACUCAGGAGCAACAGAGACUGUUAUAUUAAAGUCAUUUGUAAAAAACAAUCAGUUCCAGACAACAAAAAGGAAUGACAAAGAGUACUGUACGGUUAAUUUACAAUCGUUUCACGACAGUGCCGUCAAAAUACAAAUCCAUGGAUUGGUACAAUCAAAAUUUACUUCACCGCUUCCAGAAAAAGUGCAGGACAGGAUACUAGAAAAUACUUAUAGUCACCUUCCUGAUUUAGCCGAUCCCCAUUUCUAUCAUCCGGUCAACAUCGAUAUUAUGGUUGGCAACGAUGAGCUAGCGAAGGUGCUAAAGGCUGGUCUUAUCCAAACAGCAAGUCAUAUGCCUAUAGCUCAAAGCACUGUGUUUGGAUGGGUGAUCUCGGGGGCUAGAUAUUAUUAAUGUUGCGACAUCGCAAGAGGCCCCGCCAUGUUAAACUUCGUUUAACAGCAACUGAAUUUUAUUAUUAAAGAGCGUACUGAAUUUGCCAAAAUGAAUUAUAUUACAAUUUAUAAUGAUUUGAAAUUAUUUGACCUUACCCUAUUUAGAAUAAGAAAGAUGGGAACUCUUACAUAUUAGAAAAAAUUAAAGCUUUUGCUCAAGCAAAUUAAGAGUUCCCAUGUUUGAGUUAAAUUGUACUUUUGAAGUCUACACUUGCUGAAUAUAAAUAAGAAUGGCUUCCCCGCUUAAGUAGUUGUAGCUUAAGACUUACUUGGUAUCACAACACCGAAGCGGUAAGAAGAUAAAGGCUGCCAAUAAAACUACAACAACUAAAACAAACCUCACGAGAUUGUACAUGGUCCUUACGAGCCUCCACGAGGAACUGCGAAUAUUAAAUUUAAAAAGGAAAGAAAUCUUCACGAAAUUUUGGAAUUUAUAGGCCGAAUAUUACGCAAGAGUAAUGAACAACAACAACAAAAGCUCCCAAAAAUGCAAGGUCUGCCAAGACAGACAUCACCUGCGGUUUUGUUUGAUCUUCAACAAAAUGACUGUUUUAGAACGUGUAAAGGUGGCAAAGGAGAAGGGAUAUUGCUUUAACUGCCUUUGUGGGUCUCAUACCAGGGAAUGGUGCCGUUCUCGGAAUGCUUGCGCAGUGUGUAACAG